UCGAGUUUUCAACUCCCAAACCCUAUGUGAACUUACCACACCGUUGCUUCGGCGCGCGCUCGCCGCCGCCGAGGACGUUAAACUCUGUCUUGUAUAAGCAUUUCUGAGUGGCCGCAAGGCAAAAAACAAAUGAAUCA
RNAcentral lists this unclassified non-coding RNA (137 nucleotides) under uncultured Verticillium. RNAcentral's name for it is "sequence contains ITS1". Lineage: Eukaryota; Fungi; Ascomycota; Sordariomycetes; Hypocreales. The record is from RNAcentral.